UUAAGCGACUAAGCGUACACGGUGGAUGCCCGGCAGUCAGAGGCGAUGAAGGACGUGCUAAUCUGCGAAAGCGUCGGUAAGGUGAUAUGAACCGUUAUAACCGGCGAUGUCCGAAUGGAAACCCAGUGCAAUUCGUUGCACUAUCGUUAACUGAAUACAUAGGUUAACGAGGCGAACCGGGGAACUGAAACAUCUAAGUACCCGAGGAAAGAAAUCAACCGAGAUUCCCCAGUAGCGGCGAGCGAACGAGCAGCCAAGUCUGAAUCAGCUUGUGUGUUAGUGGAACGGUCUGGAAAGUCCGACGGUACAGGGUGAUAGUCCCGUACACCAAAAUGCACAGGUUGUGAACUCGAAGAGUAGGGCGGGACACGUGGUAUCCUGUCUGAAUAUGGGGGACCAUCCUCCAAGGCUAAAUACUCUGACUGACCGAUAGUGAACCAGUACCGUGAGGGAAAGGCGAAAAGAACCCCGGCGAGGGGAGUGAAAAAGAACCUGAAACCGUGUACGUACAAGCAGUGGGAGCACCUUCGGGUGUGACUGCGUACCUUUUGUAUAAUGGGUCAGCGACUUAUAUUCUGUAGCAAGGUUAACCGUAUAGGGGAGCCGCAGGGAAACCGAGUCUUAACUGGGCGUUAAGUUGCAGGGUAUAGACCCGAAACCCGGUGAUCUAGCCAUGGGCAGGUUGAAGGUUGGGUAACACUAACUGGAGGACCGAACCGACUAAUGUUGAAAAAUUAGCGGAUGACUUGUGGCUGGGGGUGAAAGGCCAAUCAAACCGGGAGAUAGCUGGUUCUCCCCGAAAGCUAUUUAGGUAGCGCCUCGUGAACUCAUCUUCGGGGGUAGAGCACUGUUUCGGCUAGGGGGUCAUCCCGACUUACCAACCCGAUGCAAACUACGAAUACCGAAGAAUGUUAUCACGGGAGACACGGCGGGUGCUAACGUCCGUCGUGAAGAGGAAACAACCAGACCGCCAGCUAAGGUCCCAAAGUCAUGGUUAAGUGGAAACGAUGUGGAAGGCACAGACAGCCGGAUGUUGGCUUAGAAGCAGCCAUCAUUUAAAGAAAGCGUAAUAGCUCACUGGUCGAGUCGGCCUGCGCGGAAGAUGUAACGGGCUAAACCAUGCACCGAAGCUGCGGCAGCGACACUAUGUGUUGUUGGGUAGGGGAGCGUUCUGUAAGCCUGCGAAGGUGUGCUGUGAGGCAUGCUGGAGGUAUCAGAAGUGCGAAUGCUGACAUAAGUAACGAUAAAGCGGGUGAAAAGCCCGCUCGCCGGAAGACCAAGGGUUCCUGUCCAACGUUAAUCGGGGCAGGGUGAGUCGACCCCUAAGGCGAGGCCGAAAGGCGUAGUCGAUGGGAAACAGGUUAAUAUUCCUGUACUUGGUGUUACUGCGAAGGGGGGACGGAGAAGGCUAUGUUAGCCGGGCGACGGUUGUCCCGGUUUAAGCAUGUAGGCUGAUUGUCCAGGCAAAUCCGGAUAAUCAAGGCUGAGGUGUGAUGACGAGGCACUACGGUGCUGAAGUAACAAAUGCCCUGCUUCGGAAAAGCCUCUAAGCAUCAGGUAACAUUAAAUCGUACCCCAAACCGACACAGGUGGUCAGGUAGAGAAUACCAAGGCGCUUGAGAGAACUCGGGUGAAGGAACUAGGCAAAAUGGUGCCGUAACUUCGGAGAAGGCACGCUGGUGUAGGUGAAGUCCCUGCGGAUGGAGCUGAGACCAGUCGAAGAUACCAGCUGGCUGCAACUGUUUAUUAAAACACAGCACUGUGCAAACACGAAAGUGGACGUAUACGGUGUGACGCCUGCCCGGUGCCGGAAGGUUAAUUGAUGGGGUUAUCCGUAAGGAGAAGCUCUUGAUCGAAGCCCGGUAAACGGCGGCCGUAACUAUAACGUCCUAAGGUAGCGAAAUUCCUUGUCGGGUAAGUUCCGACCUGCACGAAUGGCGUAAUGAUGGCCAGGCUGUCUCCACCCGAGACUCAGUGAAAUUGAACUCGCUGUGAAGAUGCAGUGUACCCGCGGCAAGACGGAAAGACCCCGUGAACCUUUACUAUAGCUUGACACUGAACAUUGAGCCUUGAUGUGUAGGAUAGGUGGGAGGCUUUGAAGCGUGGACGCCAGUCUGCGUGGAGCCAACCUUGAAAUACCACCCUUUAAUGUUUGAUGUUCUAACGUUGGCCCCUGACCGGGGUUGCGGACAGUGUCUGGUGGGUAGUUUGACUGGGGCGGUCUCCUCCCAAAGCGUAACGGAGGAGCACGAAGGUUAGCUAAUCCUGGUCGGACAUCAGGAGGUUAGUGCAAUGGCAUAAGCUAGCUUGACUGCGAGCGUGACGGCGCGAGCAGGUGCGAAAGCAGGUCAUAGUGAUCCGGUGGUUCUGAAUGGAAGGGCCAUCGCUCAACGGAUAAAAGGUACUCCGGGAUAACAGGCUGAUACCGCCCAAGAGUUCAUAUCGACGGCGGUGUUUGGCACCUCGAUGUCGGCUCAUCACAUCCUGGGGCUGAAGUAGGUCCCAAGGGUAUGGCUGUUCGCCAUUUAAAGUGGUACGCGAGCUGGGUUUAGAACGUCGUGAGACAGUUCGGUCCCUAUCUGCCGUGGGCGCUGGAGAAUUGAGGGGGGCUGCUCCUAGUACGAGAGGACCGGAGUGGACGCAUCACUGGUGUUCGGGUUGUCAUGCCAAUGGCACUGCCCGGUAGCUAAAUGCGGAAGAGAUAAGUGCUGAAAGCAUCUAAGCACGAAACUUGCCCCGAGAUGAGUUCUCCCUGAGACUUUAAGUCUCCUGAAGGAACGUUGAAGACGACGACGUUGAUAGGCCGGGUGUGUAAGCGCAGCGAUGCGUUGAGCUAACCGGUACUAAUGAACCGUGAGGCUUAACCU
This 2867-nucleotide ribosomal RNA is filed under the name Klebsiella pneumoniae. Its description in RNAcentral is "bacterial LSU rRNA". It matches the Rfam family "Bacterial large subunit ribosomal RNA". The record is from RNAcentral. Lineage: Bacteria; Pseudomonadati; Pseudomonadota; Gammaproteobacteria; Enterobacterales; Enterobacteriaceae.